UCAGGAAGCCGGUGAAAAUCCGGCGCAGCCCCGCUACGGUAAAGAUGACGAAGAGGACACACGCCACUGGCUAUCGCUGGGAAGGCUCCUCCUAGGAUGAAUCUAAGUCCGGAUACUG
This is a non-coding RNA of Dethiosulfovibrio salsuginis, 118 nucleotides long. NCBI's taxonomy places the organism in Bacteria, Thermotogati, Synergistota, Synergistia, Synergistales, Dethiosulfovibrionaceae. The record is from Rfam.